AACGAACGCUGGCGGCAGGCCUAACACAUGCAAGUCGAACGCCGUAGCAAUACGGAGUGGCAGACGGGUGAGUAACACGUGGGAACGUACCCUCGGUUCGGGAUAACUCAGGGAAACUUGAGCUAAUACCGGAUACGUCCGAGAGGAGAAAGAUUUAUUGCCGAGGGAUCGGCCCGCGUCUGAUUAGCUUGUUGGUGAGGUAACGGCUCACCAAGGCGACGAUCAGUAGCUGGUCNGAGAGGAUGAUCAGCCACAUUGGGACUGAGACACGGCCCAAACUCCUACGGGAUGCAGCAGUGGGGAAUAUUGGACAAUGGGCGCAAGCCUGAUCCAGCCAUGCCGCGUGAGUGAU
Molecule: ribosomal RNA, 352 nt
Filed under: uncultured bacterium
Lineage: Bacteria
Description: bacterial SSU rRNA
Rfam family: Bacterial small subunit ribosomal RNA
Source: RNAcentral